GGAAGGGUGGGUGAGUGGCUGAAACCAACGGUUUGCUAAACCGUCGUACGGGUUAAACUGUACCGGGAGUUCGAAUCUCCCCCCUUCCG
Molecule: transfer RNA, 89 nt
Filed under: Bacteroidota bacterium
Lineage: Bacteria; Pseudomonadati; Bacteroidota
Description: tRNA-Ser
Rfam family: tRNA
About the family: Transfer RNA (tRNA) molecules are approximately 80 nucleotides in length. Their secondary structure includes four short double-helical elements and three loops (D, anti-codon, and T loops).
Source: RNAcentral